AGUUGGUGUUCAGGUUGGAGAUCCUUUUGCUUAACUGUUGCAGAAUGUGAGAACUCAACAAAUUCUGAGCUCCAUGGCUGGCAUCAUGGCCACAGUGGAUUUGUUGCAGCCAGCUGGUGAAAGGCGUGAUGGAGUCAAGUUGAGCUGCAGCUGCUGCAUGCAGUUAAUCGAGAUGGUGUUAUGCUGAAGUGUCAUUGCAGGACAUUUUUUGAAAUGAACUUGGUGAUACUAUAACUAUGCCUGUGCUGUUCAAUGUGCAGUGGUUUUGCAGCCUGGUUCCAGUUGAGAGAUGUGAUUAUGCAGCUGAUACAGGAUUGAAGAAAAAGAACUGAAGUAGCUGUGCUAGUGUUCUCCUGAAAUUGCUGUGCCACAGGAGUUGCAGAUAGUGUUUGGUUCCUCAUAGAAGUUUAUUUUUAAAGAGUCUGGAGAUGAUCAGCCACUUCUGCCUAUAACUUAUGUAAAUUUCAAAGUUGUAAGUAAUAUACAAGUCAAGUGCUAAA
Molecule: long non-coding RNA, 500 nt
Organism: Daphnia pulicaria
Lineage: Eukaryota; Metazoa; Arthropoda; Branchiopoda; Diplostraca; Daphniidae
Exons: 2
Source: RefSeq, a predicted model, not a curated record